CAGGGGUAAACAUGAGAAACCCGAAAGAUCGAAAGGGGGAGAUUCAGCGCGUCUCGCUUAGUCCUGCGAGCGGAGGCCGUGUGACGGAAGGCGUGCUCGCACGUUUUCAGCACCGGCCGCCGCCGACUCGACGCGAACGCGUGCACUUCUCCCCGAGUAGGACGUCGCGACCCGUUGGGCGUCGAUCUAAGGCCCGGGUGGGAGCCCGGUCUGGGCGGCGUUCGCGCCGUCUCAGUUCUCGGACCCCCGGUGUCCCGAUCGACUCGCUCGACGGUAGAAAGUUGGCGCGGAGCGCGUCUUGUACGCGUCCGGCCCGUCGCGAGUGUGGACGGGAAUGUUGCGGUGAUUCGGACCUGGUGCCGAUCCUGCACUCGUCCCGCUUUCGCCGACGGUGUUCUCGGACAGCCUCCGAACACGCCGGUCAGCGACGCUCUAGCUUUGGGUAAUUUCAUGACCCGUCUUGAAACACGGACCAAGGAGUCUAGCAUGUGCGCGAGUCAUUGGGAUCUGCUCGAAACCUAAAGGCGCAAUGAAAGUAAAGGCCGCCUUGUGCGCGCCUAGGGAAGAUGGGAGAUGGCUCACGCCCUCUCCCCGCACUCCCGGGGCGUCUCGUUCUCAUCGCGAGAUGAGGCGCACCCAGAGCGUACAUGCUGGGACCCGAAAGAUGGUGAACUAUGCCCGGUCAGGACGAAGUCAGG
This 698-nucleotide ribosomal RNA is filed under the name Coleoptera sp. NZAC 03006297. RNAcentral describes it as "eukaryotic LSU rRNA". The stretch from base 403 to 698 matches the Rfam family "Eukaryotic large subunit ribosomal RNA", at positions 1 to 856 of the family's 3401-position model. The record is from RNAcentral. Lineage: Eukaryota; Metazoa; Arthropoda; Insecta; Coleoptera.